GUGCCUGUGGCUGAAAGGAGUAGGGCGCUGGCCCCAUAUGCCAGAGGUGGUGGGUUCAAACCCACUGGACCCA
RNAcentral lists this transfer RNA (73 nucleotides) under Otolemur garnettii (small-eared galago). It matches the Rfam family "tRNA". Rfam says of the family: Transfer RNA (tRNA) molecules are approximately 80 nucleotides in length. Their secondary structure includes four short double-helical elements and three loops (D, anti-codon, and T loops). Lineage: Eukaryota; Metazoa; Chordata; Mammalia; Primates; Galagidae. The record is from Rfam by way of RNAcentral.